Small nucleolar RNA from Fusarium oxysporum, 106 nucleotides. It matches the Rfam family "A. fumigatus snoRNA Afu_304". NCBI's taxonomy places the organism in Eukaryota, Fungi, Ascomycota, Sordariomycetes, Hypocreales, Nectriaceae. The record is from Rfam.
UUUCCUGAUGACAAAAGGCCAUAAGGCCUGAUCUAUAACCCAGCUCGUCGAAUGCCUCACCUAUUAACGCUUAGAGGCAUUGUGAGAUAAACUUUACUCUGAUAGC